Molecule: ribosomal RNA, 435 nt
Filed under: uncultured bacterium
Lineage: Bacteria
Description: partial 16S ribosomal RNA
Rfam family: Bacterial small subunit ribosomal RNA (bases 240-435)
Source: RNAcentral
CCCAUUAACCCCUUCCCCCCUGGUUUGGCCGUUCCGUUGUCCCCCUCCCCGAACCGUACCGUCCCGGGCCCGUCGGACCCGGUUACGGUUCGAACCGGGUAACCGGGGUGGUAAACGGUAACCCGUGGGUUAAACCGGUUAACCGUCGCCCCUUUACUUACGGGGGCGGGGGAACUUAAACUUUGUUAACGGGAAAACGUAAGUACGAAUUAAACCGUACCCGCAAAAAUUAAAAGGUCCGAACUAUCCGCUAGUAGAUUGGUAGUCUAAGGAAGGUGAUAUGAUAUCAAUAGAUGCGUACNGUCGUNUAGUNACUGUGUGAGGACGCNCACGAGCGAGACAUAUCGACCUCAGAGGGGUGAUCGGCCACACUGGGACUGAGACACGGCCCAGACUCCUACGGGAGGCAGCAGUAGGGAAUCUUCGGCAAUGGGG